UGAGUUUGAUCCUGGCUCAGGACGAACGCUGGCGGCAUGCCUCACACAUGCAAGUCGAACGAACUUUUUUAGGAAGCUUGCUUUCUAAAAGAGUUAGUGGCGGACGGGUGAGUAACACGUGGGCAACCUGCCCUACAGAUCGGGAUACCAUCGGGAAACUGAUGUUAAUACCGGAUACGUUCUAGGAAUCACAUGAUACCUAGAAGAAAGAUUUUAUCGCUGUAGGAUGGGCCCGCGGUCCAUUAGCUAGUUGGUAGGGUAACGGCCUACCAAGGCGACGAUGGAUAGCUGGUCUGAGAGGACGAUCAGCCACACUGGGACUGAGACACGGCCCAGACUCCUACGGGAGGCAGCAGUGGGGAAUUUUGCGCAAUGGGGGCAACCCUGACGCAGCGACGCCGCGUGAGUGACGAAGGCCUUCGGGUUGUAAAACUCUGUCUAGGGGGAAGAUAGUGACGGUACCCCU
This 466-nucleotide ribosomal RNA is filed under the name uncultured bacterium. RNAcentral describes it as "bacterial SSU rRNA". It matches the Rfam family "Bacterial small subunit ribosomal RNA", at positions 1 to 482 of the family's 1533-position model. The record is from RNAcentral.